AUGCUGGGAGGCUGGAGGACUAGCGAGGAGGAGUUGAGAGAACGGAGCAGACGCCAUGGCGACCAACAUCGAGCAGAUUUUUAGGUCUUUCGUGGUCAGUAAAUUCCGGGAAAUUCAACAGGAGCUUUCCAGCGGAAGGAAUGAAGGCCAGCUCAAUGGUGAAACAAAUACACCCAUUGAAGGAAACCAGGCGGGUGACGCAGCUGCCUCUGCCAGGAGUCUACCAAAUGAAGAAAUAGUGCAAAAGAUAGAGGAAGUACUUUCUGGGGUCUUAGAUACAGAACUUCGAUAUAAGCCAGACUUGAAAGAGGCCUCCAGGAAAAGUAGAUGCGUAUCUGUACAAACAGAUCCUACUGAUGAAAUUCCCACUAAAAAGUCAAAGAAGCAUAAAAAGCACAAAAACAAAAAGAAGAAAAAGAAGAAAGAAAAGGAAAAAAAAUAUAAAAGACAACCAGAAGAAUCUGAGUCAAAGACAAAGUCUCAUCAUGAUGGGAACAUAGAUUUAGAAUCUGAUUCCUUUCUCAAGUUUGAUUCUGAACCUUCAGCUAUGGUGCUGGAGCUUCCUACAAGAGCGUUUGGCCUAUCUGAGACCAAUGAAUCCCCUGCAGUUGUGCUAGAACCUCCUUUAGUAUCAAUGGAGGUAUCAGAGCCACACGUCUUAGAAACUCUGAAGCCAGCUACAAAAACUUCAGAACUGUCAGUUGCAUCUACAUCAGUAAUCUCAGAGCAGUCUGUGGCAGUAAUGCCAGAACCAGCCAUGACAAAGAUUCUGGAUUCCUUUGCAACAGCACCAGUGCCUACUACAACAGUGGUGUCGAAGUCAUCUGAGCCAGUCGUAACAAUGUCAGUGGAGUAUCAGAUGAAGUCUGUGCUGAAAUCUGUGGAGAGCACGUCUCUAGAGCCAUCAAAGAUCAUGUUGGUAGAGCCCCCAAUAGCAAAAGUGUUAGAGCCUUCAGAAACCCUUGUGGUAUCUUCAGAGACACCUACUGAGGUGUACCCUGAGCCAAGCACAUCAACAACAAUGGAUUUUCCAGAGUCAUCUGCAAUUGAAGCGCUAAGAUUGCCAGAGCAGCCUGUAGACGCACCAUCGGAGAUUGCAGAUUCAUCCAUGACAAGACCGCAGGAGUUGCCGGAGCUGCCUAAGACCACAGCGUUGGAGCUGCAGGAGUCGUCGGUGGCCUCAGCGAUGGAGUUGCCGGGGCCACCUGCGACCUCCAUGCUGGAGUUGCAGGGGCCCCCUGUGACUCCAGUGCUGGAGUUACCUGGGCCCUCUGCUACCCCGGUGCCAGAGUUGCCAGGGCCCCUUUCUACCCCAGUGCCUGAGUUGCCAGGGCCCCCUGCGACAGCAGUGCCUGAGUUGCCAGGGCCCUCUGUGACACCAGUGCCACAGUUGUCGCAGGAAUUGCCAGGGCUUCCAGCACCAUCCAUGGGGUUAGAGCCACCACAGGAGGUAUCAGAGCCACCUGUGAUGGCACAGGAGUUGCCAGGGCUGCCUUUGGUGACAGCAGCAGUAGAGUUGCCAGAGCAGCCUGCGGUAACUGUAGCAAUGGAGUUGACCGAACAACCUGUGACGACGACAGAGUUGGAGCAGCCCGUGGGGAUGACAACGGUGGAACAUCCUGGGCAUCCUGAGGUGACAACGGCAACAGGGUUGCUGGGGCAGCCUGAGGCAACGAUGGUGCUGGAGUUGCCAGGACAGCCAGUGGCAACGACAGCGCUGGAGUUGCCGGGGCAGCCUUCGGUGACUGGGGUGCCAGAGUUGCCAGGGCUGCCUUCGGCAACUAGGGCACUGGAGUUGUCGGGGCAGCCUGUGGCAACUGGGGCACUAGAGUUGCCUGGGCCGCUCAUGGCAGCUGGGGCACUGGAGUUCUCGGGGCAGUCUGGGGCAGCUGGAGCACUGGAGCUUUUGGGGCAGCCUCUGGCAACAGGGGUGCUGGAGUUGCCAGGGCAGCCUGGGGCGCCAGAGUUGCCAGGGCAGCCUGUGGCAACUGUGGCGCUGGAGAUCUCUGUUCAGUCUGUGGUGACAACAUCGGAGCUGUCAACGAUGACCGUGUCGCAGUCCCUGGAGGUGCCCUCGACGACAGCGCUGGAAUCCUAUAAUACGGUAGCACAGGAGCUGCCUACUACAUUAGUGGGGGAGACUUCUGUAACAGUAGGAGUGGAUCCCUUGAUGGCCCCAGAAUCCCAUAUAUUAGCUUCUAACACCAUGGAGACCCAUAUAUUAGCAUCCAACACCAUGGAUUCCCAAAUGCUAGCGUCCAACACCAUGGACUCCCAGAUGCUAGCAUCCAACACCAUGGACUCCCAGAUGUUAGCAUCUAGCACCAUGGACUCCCAGAUGUUAGCCAGUAGUACCAUGGACUCCCAGAUGUUAGCAACUAGCUCCAUGGACUCCCAAAUGUUAGCAACUAGCACUAUGGACUCCCAGAUGUUAGCAACCAGCUCCAUGGACUCCCAGAUGUUAGCAACCAGCUCCAUGGACUCCCAGAUGUUAGCAACCAGCUCCAUGGACUCCCAGAUGUUAGCAACCAGCUCCAUGGACUCCCAGAUGUUAGCAACUAGCUCCAUGGACUCCCAGAUGUUAGCAACCAGCACCAUGGACUCCCAGAUGUUAGCAACCAGCUCUAUGGAUUCCCAGAUGUUAGCAUCUGGCACUAUGGACUCUCAAAUGUUAGCUUCUGGCACCAUGGAUGCUCAGAUGUUAGCGUCUGGUACCAUGGAUGCCCAGAUGUUAGCAUCUAGUACCCAAGAUUCUGCUAUGUUGGGUUCAAAAUCUCCUGAUCCCUAUAGGUUAGCUCAGGAUCCUUAUAGGUUAGCUCAGGAUCCCUAUAGGUUGGGCCAUGACCCCUAUAGAUUAGGUCAUGAUGCUUACAGGUUAGGACAGGACCCUUAUAGAUUAGGCCACGAUCCCUACAGACUAACUCCUGAUCCCUACAGGAUGUCACCUAGACCCUAUAGGAUAGCACCCAGGUCCUAUAGAAUAGCACCCAGGCCAUAUAGGUUAGCACCUAGACCCCUGAUGUUAGCAUCUAGACGUUCUAUGAUGAUGUCCUAUGCUGCAGAACGUUCCAUGAUGUCAUCUUACGAACGCUCUAUGAUGUCUUACGAGCGGUCUAUGAUGUCCCCUAUGGCUGAGCGCUCUAUGAUGUCAGCCUACGAGCGCUCUAUGAUGUCAGCCUAUGAGCGCUCUAUGAUGUCCCCUAUGGCUGAGCGCUCUAUGAUGUCCGCUUAUGAACGCUCCAUGAUGUCAGCUUAUGAGCGCUCCAUGAUGUCCCCAAUGGCUGAUCGAUCUAUGAUGUCAAUGGGUGCCGACCGAUCUAUGAUGUCGUCAUACUCUGCUGCUGACCGGUCUAUGAUGUCAUCGUACUCUGCAGCUGACCGAUCUAUGAUGUCAUCUUAUACUGCUGAUCGUUCAAUGAUGUCUAUGGCUGCUGAUUCUUAUACUGAUUCUUACACUGACACAUAUACAGAGGCAUAUAUGGUGCCACCUUUGCCUCCUGAAGAGCCCCCAACAAUGCCACCGUUGCCACCUGAGGAGCCACCAAUGACACCACCGUUGCCUCCUGAGGAACCACCAGAGGGUCCAGCAUUGCCCACUGAGCAGUCAGCAUUAACAGCUGAAAAUACUUGGUCUACAGGGGUGCCAUCAUUACCUUCUGAAGAGUCUGUAUCACAACCUGAGCCUCCUGUGAGUCAAAGUGAGAUUUCAGAGCCUUCAGCAGUGCCUACUGAUUAUUCAGUGUCAGCAUCAGAUCCCUCAGUGUUAGUAUCAGAGGCUGCUGUGACUGUUCCAGAACCACCGCCAGAGCCAGAAUCUUCAAUUACAUCAACACCUGCAGAGUCUGCAGUAGUAGAAGAAGAACAUGAAGUUGUUCCAGAGAGACCAGUGACUUGUAUGGCAUCCAAUACUUCCACAAUGUCAGCUGAACCAACUAUGUUAACAUCAGAGCCUCCUGUUAUGUCAGAGACAGCAGAAACAUUUGAUUCUAUGAGAACUUCAGGACAUGUUGCUUUGGAGGUAUCUACAUCCUUGUUGGAGCCAGCAGUAACUACUCCAGAGCUGGCAGAGAGCAUUCUGGAGCCGGCAGCCAUGGCUGUCCCAGAGUCUUCAGCUGUGACUGUCCUGGAGUCUUCAGCUGUGACUGUCCUGGAGUCUUCGACUGUGACCGUCCUGGAGUCUUCAACUGUGACUGUCCUGGAGCCUUCGGUUGUGACUGUCCCGGAGCCUCCUGUUGUGGCUGAGCCAGAAUAUAUUACCAUUCCUGUGCCAGUUGUUUCUGCCCUGGAGCCUUCUGUGCCUGUCCUGGAACCAAUGGUGUCAGUCCUUCAGCCUGCUAUGAUUGUUUCAGAACCAUCUGUUUCUGUCCAGGAAUCUACUGUGAUGGUUUCAGAGCCUGCUGUCACUGUCUCCGAGCAGACUAAAGUAAUACCGACUGAAGUGGCUAUAGAGUCCACACCAAUGAUACUGGAGUCUAGUAUCAUGUCAUCACAUGUUAUGAAAGGAAUGAAUCUACCCUCUGGUGAUCAAAAUCUUGUUCCAGAGGUGGGCAUGCAGGAGAUUCCAUUGCAUUCAGGUGAAGAGCCACAUGCUGAGGGACACCUGAAAAGUGACUCUUAUGAAAGUGAACAUGGUAUAAGUAUAGACCUUAAUAUAAAUAGUCAUUUAAUUGCUAAAGAGAUGGAACAUGAUACAGUGUGUGCUGUUAGCACUAGUCCUGCUGGGGAAAUUGGUGAAGAGAAAAUUUUGCCCACCUGUGAGACUAAACAGUGCACAGUAUUGGAUACCUACCCUGGUGUUAGUGAAGCUGAUGCAGGAGAAACUUCAUCCUCUACUGAUCCUCUUGCUCAGGAACCUGACGCAACAGGAACUACUAAGGGUAUUGAAUUUAUCACAGCAUCUACUCUCAGUUCAGUUAAUAAAUAUGAUGUUGAAGUAUCUUUAACUACUCAAGAUACUGAACAUGACAUGGUAAUUUCCACCAGUCCUAGUGGUGGUAGUGAAGCUGAUAUUGAAGGGCCUUUGCCUGCCAAAGAUAUUCAUCUUGAUUUACCAUCUAAUAAUAACAUUGUUAGUAAGGAUACAGAAGAACCAUUACCUGUAAAAGAGAGUGACCAGACAUUAGCAGCUCUCCUCAGCCCUAAAGAAAGUAUUGGAGGAGAAAAAGAAGCACCUCUCCCUCCUAAAGAGACAGUGUCUGAUUCAGGAUUUUCUGCCAAUAUUGAGGAUAUUAAUGAAGCAGAUUUAGUGAGACCAUUACUUCCUAAGGACAUGGAACGUCUUACAAGCCUUAGAGCUGGCAUUGAAGGACCUUUACUUGCAAGUGAGGUUGGACGUGACAAAUCUGCUGCCAGUCCAGUUGUAAUUAGUAUGCCAGAAAGAGCUUCUGAGUCGUCUUCAGAGGAAAAAGAUGAUUAUGAAAUUUUUGUAAAAGUUAAGGACACUCAUGAAAAAAGCAAGAAAAAUAAGAACCGUGACAAGGGUGAGAAGGAGAAGAAAAGAGACUCUUCAUUAAGAUCUCGAAGUAAGCGUUCCAAAUCUUCUGAACACAAAUCACGCAAGCGUACCAGUGAAUCUCGUUCUAGAGCAAGGAAGAGAUCAUCUAAGUCCAAGUCUCAUCGCUCUCAAACACGUUCACGGUCACGUUCUAGACGUAGAAGGAGGAGCAGCAGAUCAAGAUCAAAGUCUAGAGGAAGACGAUCUGUAUCAAAGGAGAAGCGCAAAAGAUCCCCAAAGCACAGAUCCAGGUCUAAGGAAAGAAAAAGAAAAAGAUCAAGCUCCAGGGAUAACCGAAAGACAGUCAGAGCUCGAAGUCGAACCCCAAGUCGUCGGAGUCGGAGUCAUACUCCAAGUCGUCGACGAAGGUCUAGAUCUGUGGGUAGAAGAAGGAGCUUUAGCAUUUCCCCCAGCCGCCGGAGCCGCACCCCCAGCCGCCGGAGCCGCACCCCCAGCCGCCGGAGCCGCACCCCCAGCCGUCGGAGCCGCACCCCCAGCCGCCGGAGUCGCACCCCCAGCCGCCGGAGCCGCACCCCCAGCCGCCGGAGAAGAUCAAGGUCUGUGGUAAGAAGACGAAGCUUCAGUAUAUCACCAGUCAGAUUAAGGCGAUCAAGAACACCCUUGAGAAGAAGGUUUAGCAGAUCUCCCAUCCGUCGUAAAAGAUCCCGGUCUUCUGAGAGAGGCAGAUCACCCAAACGUCUGACAGAUUUGGAUAAGGCUCAAUUACUUGAAAUAGCCAAAGCUAAUGCAGCUGCCAUGUGUGCUAAGGCUGGUGUCCCUUUACCGCCAAACCUGAAGCCUGCACCUCCACCUACUAUAGAAGAGAAAGUUGCUAAAAAGUCAGGAGGAGCUACUAUAGAAGAACUAACGGAGAAAUGUAAACAGAUCGCACAGAGUAAAGAAGAUGAUGAUGUAAUAGUGAAUAAACCUCAUGUUUCGGAUGAAGAGGAAGAAGAACCUCCUUUUUAUCAUCAUCCCUUUAAACUCAGUGAACCCAAACCCAUUUUUUUCAAUCUAAAUAUUGCUGCAGCAAAGCCAACUCCACCAAAAAGCCAGGUAACAUUAACAAAAGAAUUCCCUGUAUCAUCUGGAUCUCAACAUCGGAAAAAAGAAGCGGAUAGUGUUUAUGGAGAAUGGGUUCCUGUAGAGAAAAAUGGUGAAGAAAACAAAGAUGAUGAUAAUGUUUUCAGCAGCAAUUUGCCCUCUGAGCCUGUGGACAUCUCUACAGCAAUGAGUGAACGGGCACUUGCUCAGAAGAGACUCAGUGAGAAUGCGUUUGACCUUGAAGCCAUGAGCAUGUUAAAUAGAGCUCAGGAAAGGAUUGAUGCCUGGGCUCAGCUGAACUCUAUUCCUGGCCAGUUCACAGGAAGUACGGGAGUACAGGUUUUGACCCAAGAACAGUUGGCCAAUACCGGUGCCCAAGCCUGGAUUAAAAAGGGCCAAAUCCUUGUAGCUGUCUUCUUGCCCCGGUCAGUGCCAGCCGUACUAUUCACAACACUGCUGCUACCGAGGCCUAGGAUCAGUUCUUAAGAGCAGCCCCGGUAACUGGAGGAAUGGGAGCCGUUUUGAUGAGAAAAAUGGGCUGGAGAGAAGGAGAAGGAUUAGGAAAAAACAAAGAAGGCAAUAAGGAACCCAUCCUAGUUGAUUUUAAGACAGACCGAAAAGGUCUUGUUGCAGUAGGGGAAAGAGCACAAAAGAGGUCUGGGAACUUCUCUGCUGCAAUGAAAGAUCUGUCAGGCAAACAUCCUGUGUCUGCUUUGAUGGAAAUCUGUAAUAAGAGAAGGUGGCAACCACCUGAAUUUCUGUUGGUCCAUGAUAGUGGUCCUGAUCAUCGCAAACAUUUUCUCUUUAGGGUAUUGAGAAAUGGAAGCCCUUACCAGCCCAAUUGUAUGUUUUUCUUGAAUAGGUAUUGAUAAAUGGAAGCGCUUACCAGCCCAGCUUUGCCAGCCCUAAUAAGAAGCAUGCUAAAGCCACAGCAGCUACUGUGGUUCUUCAAGCAAUGGGCCUUGUACCAAAGGACCUCAUGGCUAAUGCCACUUGCUUCAGGAGUGCCUCACGUAGAUAGAUUGAGGUUUUAUAAUAAUCAUUUCAGAUAAUUUUACUCUGCAUCACAAUGUAUUUCCUCUUUAAUGUUGUAAAUAUUUGGCAAUUUAAGACAUUGUGUAAAAAGCAAUCUGUAAAAACAUCUCCAGGCUUUGAUUUUUGUACCAUGGAAAUUGUAUUUAACCAUACAGGGUUUUGGUAUGUUUAUAUUGUUUACCUUAGUGAUGUAUUUGUUUAAGUGGCUAACAUCCAAACGAUUGUUUGAAGGCAUCAGUAAUCUUCAGUGUGGAAUGUUAAAUAACGCUUUUAUACUGUAUUUUGUACUAUGAUGUAACUCCCCUUCCUUAUGGCUAGGCUGCUGUAACACUUGCCUGUAAUCAAUGAAGGGCUGUGCACCUUGUACUAUUUCACAAUGGGUUCUGCUGGACAGAUACUGGGCCAGUGUUAUUGAGGUAAUCAAGCAAGAUCUGUCCCACAGGGCUAAUGCCACCAUCUCCCCUCAAAAUUCUGUAGAGGUUAUAAAAAGAAAGUGGUAUGUUGUGUGAUGAUCAGCACUAAGUCCUGCAUUCCUGUUAAAGCCACUUGGGUCAUAAGAAGGGAGUCAAAAAUGAAGUCUGACUAGAAUUCUAUUGCAGAGGCCAAGUACAUUUAGUAUGGCAUUGAGUUGUGAUAUAGUUUUACUUUGAUGUGCAUUUUGAAUUUCAGCUACACCUAGAUAGACGUAAAAUGAUAAUUAAAAUGCUGUAACCAACUUAUCUAAUAAAACUGGCAAUCAGCCACUAUUUUGUUGACUCUGAGAAAGUUAAAGUUUAUGUUAAUUUUUAGGGUCCGAUAGAAUAUUUCAUGUGUAUUACGGUGGUAUUCAUAUGCUAUGUCUCUAAACUUUAUUUUCAAAAGCUUAAGGCCCAAAUACAAACUUCUCUGGAAUAAA
Molecule: non-coding RNA, 8468 nt
Organism: Saimiri boliviensis boliviensis (Bolivian squirrel monkey)
Lineage: Eukaryota; Metazoa; Chordata; Mammalia; Primates; Cebidae
Source: RefSeq, a predicted model, not a curated record